Long non-coding RNA from Centruroides sculpturatus (bark scorpion), 921 nucleotides. RefSeq lists it as uncharacterized. The record is from RefSeq and is a predicted model, not a curated record. NCBI's taxonomy places the organism in Eukaryota, Metazoa, Arthropoda, Arachnida, Scorpiones, Buthidae. The transcript has 2 exons.
UUUAUCUGAAAUCGCCCAUUUUGAUUUUCAGGUCGAGUUUCCGGAGAAAAAGUUUGGGUAGGUAUUUGCAAUUUUGUUAAAGAAUGGUCGUCACUGACAGCAAAGCAGAAAAAAGGUUUCCGCAGACUUUACCAACAAGCAUGCCAUUGUAAAAUAACGAAGAAUUAUAUACACAACAAUAACACCACAGUCAGGCCACAGUGUUAUUGGGAAACUUGGAAAAGCGUAAAAUAUGACUGUCAAAAUUUAUAUUCUAUCUGCGCACCUUCCUCUCAUCACAUGAAAGAAUGUGUUUGGUUGAAAAGCAGAGCCUAUCGUCACUGUAUGAAAGAAAAAAGAGAUUUUCUCUACAGAGAACCUUAAAUUUAUCUUAACAGAUUCAUCGUCGAUACUCUUUCGGAGGUAUCAUAAUGAGCUUUGCCACUAGGUGGCAGAAUUAUGCUCGAGUCUCAGUAGUAGGACGAAACUCUCUCUCUCGAAGUUUAUCAUUUAAAAUAUUUUAAGAGUACAAUUUUAUGACAUCGUAGAUUAGGAGAGUGAAAACACGAUUUUUAAAUGUAGAUCGGCCAAAAAAAAUAUAAAUUUAUCCAUCAGAAUUUACAUUAAAAUAUAUAUUAUGUUUUUCAAAUUUCUGCUGAUAAAGUAGGCAUUAUGUAUUUUAUGACACGUUCUGAUAAAUUAUGUCUGCGGUGAUUAAUUGCCAAUAUUUUUAAAUGUCAAUUUUGAUAUAAAUGCACCCUGGUUCAUCGCGUUCUUUUGUAAAUUAGAAAUAUGUUUAAAUGUAUGUAUUCAUUGUAGUAUUUAAAUUGUGUUUGUGAAGAACCUGUAUACUGGUCUCCAACGCGUAUAGUUUUGUAAUUAGGUCUACACUAGUAUUCAAGUGUAGUUGAUGGACCAAUAAAAACGUACAAAUGUAAUUUA